UAAUGUGUUUUAGGACUGCAACAAAUAUUUGUUAAUCUCAUUGUUCCUCAGGGUCACUUGAAUGUUCUGACUGGCUUAAGUAAUAUCAUCUUCCCCACCACUCCUUAAGCAUCCUUUGGAGCUUUGUGCUUGGUUAAGGUUUUGAGAGUUAGCUCUGCUUCCCUCCUAGAGCCUUUGUACAUGCUCACAGGACCCACUUUUAGGAGAAAUGCAGGGUGGGUGAAUUUCUUUUGCCUCUGUCCUAGUUUCUUUUCCAAAAUGACAGCGAUUUUGUGUUUUAGA
RNAcentral lists this small nuclear RNA (282 nucleotides) under Bos taurus (domestic cattle). RNAcentral describes it as "7SK RNA". It matches the Rfam family "7SK RNA". Rfam says of the family: 7SK was discovered as an abundant small nuclear RNA in the mid-70s but a possible function has only recently been suggested. Two independent studies have found that 7SK RNA binds the CDK9/cyclin T complex (known as elongation factor P-TEFb). P-TEFb activates transcription by phosphorylating the C-terminal domain of RNA polymerase II. The record is from Rfam by way of RNAcentral. Lineage: Eukaryota; Metazoa; Chordata; Mammalia; Artiodactyla; Bovidae. RNAcentral also lists the same sequence under 3 other names.